RNAcentral lists this ribosomal RNA (468 nucleotides) under uncultured bacterium. RNAcentral describes it as "partial 16S ribosomal RNA". It matches the Rfam family "Bacterial small subunit ribosomal RNA", at positions 28 to 507 of the family's 1533-position model. The record is from RNAcentral.
GACGAACGCUGGCGGCGUGCUUAACACAUGCAAGUCGAACGGAAAGGCCCUGCUUUUGUGGGGUGCUCGAGUGGCGAACGGGUGAGUAACACGUGAGUAACCUGCCCUUGACUUUGGGAUAACUUCAGGAAACUGGGGCUAAUACCGGAUAGGAGCUCCUGCUGCAUGGUGGGGGUUGGAAAGUUUCGGCGGUUGGGGAUGGACUCGCGGCUUAUCAGCUUGUUGGUGGGGUAGUGGCUUACCAAGGCUUUGACGGGUAGCCGGCCUGAGAGGGUGACCGGCCACAUUGGGACUGAGAUACGGCCCAGACUCCUACGGGAGGCAGCAGUGGGCAAUAUUGCACAGUGGGCGGAAGCCUGAUGCAGCAACGCCGCGUGCGGGAUGACGGCCUUCGGGUUGUAAACCGCUUUCGCCUGUGACGAAGCGUGAGUGACGGUAAUGGGUAAAGAAGCACCGGCUAACUACGUG